Long non-coding RNA from Aedes albopictus (Asian tiger mosquito), 1193 nucleotides. RefSeq lists it as uncharacterized. The transcript is spliced from 2 exons. Lineage: Eukaryota; Metazoa; Arthropoda; Insecta; Diptera; Culicidae. The record is from RefSeq and is a predicted model, not a curated record.
ACGUUACCUUCCAAAAUUGCCAAGGAAGCGGCGUUCAGCCUAACUCAACUAACUGUUCCAUCCUAUCCGGAGGAGCGCGGAUUUCGUGACGAAAAAUUCACCGGAACAGCAUCCACAACGCGAGAUAAAAACAAAGACUUUCAAAGUUUGUUUCGAAAUUUGACAUUUCAUUCGUUUCGAACCGUUUUCUAAACAAACGCUAAAAGCUAAUUUACACAAAAUGUGAGUUUGCGAACAGUUACUCACAUUAUGAGCAAAAAUUUUACUCACCGAAGCGUUCUUGUGCACGAAACGGUUUGAUGCGUGAAUUUAACACAGCCGGUAUGUAACAUUUUCUUAGCGUGUGUGUGAAAAGAACUCAAUUUAGAGUAACAUUUUCUUAGCGUGUAGAGUUAGAUUUUCUUAGCGUGUGUGUGAAAAAAACUCAAUUUAGAGUUAGAUUUUCUUAGUGUGUGCAAGUCAACAUCAAGUCCCUCACUGUGUACUAGUACCAUCUGGUGGCUAUUUUUGUGUUUGCGUUGAUUGACAUUUCGAAUAUACAGUGGUAAAAAUCUAGUACCUCCCCGUCUUCUGUGACCGAAAACUUGCGCUGCAGUUUGGAAUUUUGUUCGUACAAGAGUGUUACUGGGUGUCAAACAAACAAUAUCGAAGGACAUUGUUGUGCAGAUUAUCGACGCGAAAACAAAACACGAAAACGUAGUGAAAUUUCGACCGGAACCGUAGCUAUCGAGUAGAAUUUGAUUGCCAAGUGGACUAUUGAUACUGUGCCAAAAGGUUAUCAACUCAGGGCUUGCCAUUGAGCGAACCGUGAGCUGGAUUUAUGCGCCGACAUCGGAGUUGCUGGAUUAUGCACCGCUAUAUUGGAUGAUGAAAAAUUAUGUGCGUUGCAAAGUUGUGCCAGAAAUGUGUCACUAAACCGUGUUCAUAAUGUAAAUAAUUAUUUGUUGAAUCAUUCGUUAUUAGAGCAUUAAAUGUGAAAAAGUUUACUAAGAAUAUUGUGUGAUAGUGAAAAGAAAAAAAAGUGUUGAAAACAGUUUUGUACACGUCGACUGAGCUCUAUAUACAUAUUAUAAGGAAACAGGCGAAAAAGAUACGAAGCAAAAACAGUGAAUUUACUGAGCUAGUUUUGCUUGUAAAAUGAAAAAAUUCACUUUCAAAGGAGUUUUAGAUGGUUUUCGAAGUUCUACAGUGAA